This 240-nucleotide unclassified non-coding RNA is filed under the name soil metagenome. RNAcentral's name for it is "partial contains 5.8S ribosomal RNA, internal transcribed spacer 2, and large subunit ribosomal RNA". The record is from RNAcentral.
AAGACUAUAGACCUGCGGAGUACCUGCGGAAGGAUCAUUAACGUAUCUAUGAUGGGGUGCGGAGCGCCCUGCUCCGGUCGAACGGCCGUGCAGCGGGUGCGCCGCCCCCGUCCCACCUCACAAACCCACUGUGAACAUUCACCGGUGGAGGGGGCUCGGUCUGCGCCGUGUCCCCGAUGCCGAAUACCCAAACUCCAGUUGCAAAGAACGUCGUGCGGACUCGGUGCUGCCUAAAACAUG